Molecule: transfer RNA, 75 nt
Filed under: Nitrosopumilaceae archaeon
Lineage: Archaea; Thermoproteati; Nitrososphaerota; Nitrososphaeria; Nitrosopumilales; Nitrosopumilaceae
Description: tRNA-Val
Rfam family: tRNA
About the family: Transfer RNA (tRNA) molecules are approximately 80 nucleotides in length.
Source: RNAcentral
GGGCCGGUAGUCUAGCCGGUUAGGAUACUGCCCCGACAUGGCAGUGAUCGUGAGUUCGAAUCUCACUCGGCCCAC